Molecule: long non-coding RNA, 1362 nt
Filed under: Olea europaea subsp. europaea
Lineage: Eukaryota; Viridiplantae; Streptophyta; Magnoliopsida; Lamiales; Oleaceae
Source: RNAcentral
GGAAAAUGCAUAUUUAGAGUGUUUCAAAAUGCAAGGAUGUGGUUAUAGCCUAGCCUGAUCCUAUCUUCCAUAACUGAAGAGGGUCUCUUUACCAAUCUCGGUAUAAAUGGAAAGUUGUGUCCCAAAUGGAAGAGGCGAAACACAAAUAUGUCAUGAUUCUUACUACUGGAACAACUUUUGAAAACUCAUCAAUCCAAGCCCUCAAAUUCAACAGGCACGCCACAAAUCAAGCCGAGAGAGCAUUACAUGUACUAUCUAAAAAUGAUGUGUCAUAUGAUACAGGAACCUUAUCCAUUCACAACUGAAAGCUAAACAUGAGAUAUCAAACCCAAUUGUUCCUUUUUAUCGACAAGGUCCAAAGACAAUAAUUAACCAAGACCAAUAGAUAAGCAGUGGCAAAAUUCACAAGUAGCAUGCACAUUUUGCAUAUCAAAUUAAAAACUUCAUCUCUUCUAUUGCCAUGGAAGUCCAAGCUCAAAUUAGAUCUGCCACAUUCAUAGGCAUUUCAUUUAUCUGGGUACUGUAGUACUGCUCUAUAACUCGUAAGAUUUUGAUAUCAUCACUUUUAACAAAGUUGAUUGCAACGCCUUGCACGUCAUCAUAAAAUUAAGUAAUUACAAAUAAAUAUCAUAUAAGGAUAAACUCAAAAAUAUAACACAAAAAGAAAGCAGAUGUUACAGGAUAGAUUAAAACAAAAUAUGAUAAAAGUAAAUAAUUUAACAAGUUUCAGUUAAUGAUGAUGUGUUGGAUCUACAGCAGUUAAUAUCCAGAUAUCUACAUGUUGAAAGUAUUACUAGACCAAUGUUUAAACUCAUACUCGGAUGCAAACAAAACGAUAAUUAACUUGAGUUAAUUUUUAGAUGUUUCGUGAAUAAUUUCUCCACCCAAAAAUGAUAGCAUUAAGAUUUUAAAAAUUGCAUAUUCAAGAAUCAAAAUUAUUUAACAAAAAUUAAGAAUAAUAAUGUUCACUAAUUCACACACAUUAAUUUUCAUGCAUUUUAAAUAGAGGGCAAUGACUAUUCUCUUAAACUUUUGUGCCAAGAAGUAAACUGAAAAACAAUGAGGUAACAUCUGAAUAAAAUGCUAUAUAAUUGAACAUUAGAGAAUCUAGUGAAAAUCUUAAAGGAUUGUGCAAGUACCUUUCUCCCGAAACUGCUAGAUAGUCCAAUACGAUGAAUGUAAAGCUCCCUAUUGUUGGGAAGGUCAUAAUUGAUCACCAGGAAAGCCUACAAGAAUGAAAUGUGAAGAUAGAAAAAAUGAGAUUACACUCCAUCGUAAAGCCAUUUCAUCUAUAUUAUAUUGCACAUCUUGGACACGCGUUUCCCUGUAAAACUGAGAAAGAAAAAGAGGAUUCAAUCGAAA